RNAcentral lists this ribosomal RNA (409 nucleotides) under Nephropsis serrata. RNAcentral describes it as "partial 12S ribosomal RNA". It matches the Rfam family "Microsporidia small subunit ribosomal RNA", at positions 752 to 1278 of the family's 1311-position model. The record is from RNAcentral. Lineage: Eukaryota; Metazoa; Arthropoda; Malacostraca; Decapoda; Nephropidae.
ACCCAGUAGAAAAGAAUAGCGCUUGAGUAUUAAUAGUUAUAUUCUUUAAAUUCAAAGAAUUUGGCGGUAUUUUAGUCCCGUUAGAGGAACCUGUUCUUUAAACGAUAAAACACGUAAAAUCUUACUUAAUUUUAUUGUAGUUUGUAUACCGUCAUUAUUAAAUAAUCUUGAAAGAGCCAACUAUUGAGGCUGACAGAGUAAGUUAAAUGUAUUAGAUCAAGGUGCAGCUUAUAGUUAAGUAGAAAUGGGUUACAAUAAUAUACACAUUUAGAACGAAUUGUAAAUAGAAUUAUUUACAGGAAGGUGGAUGUAAUUGUAAAAAUAAUUUAAUAAGAUAUUUUGAGAUAGGCUCUAAAUUAUGUACAUAUCGCCCGUCGCUUUCAUUUUAAAUGAAAUAAGUCGUAACAUA